UACGUAGGGUGCGAGCGUUAAUCGGAAUUACUGGGCGUAAAGCGUGCGCAGGCGGGCUUUUAAGCCAGACGUGAAAUCCCCGGGCUUAACCUGGGAAUGGCGUUUGGGACUGGAAGUCUGGAGUACGGCAGAGGAGACUGGAAUUCCUGGUGUAGCAGUGAAAUGCGUAGAUAUCAGGAGGAACACCGAUGGCGAAGGCAGGUCUCUGGGCCACUACUGACGCUGAGAAGCGAAAGCAUGGGGAGCGAACAGG
This 253-nucleotide ribosomal RNA is filed under the name uncultured bacterium. RNAcentral's name for it is "partial 16S ribosomal RNA". It matches the Rfam family "Bacterial small subunit ribosomal RNA", at positions 524 to 776 of the family's 1533-position model. The record is from RNAcentral.